CAAUAGCGUAUAUUAAAAUUGUUGCGGUUAAAACGCUCGUAGUUGGAUGUAUGCGAAUGAAUUUCGGUCCUUCCCAGAGAAGAAUACACGAGAUUUCAUUUGUACUUGUUCAGGGAUGGUGGAUGCACUUCACUGUGUGACCACAUAAUCUGGAUUUUUACUUUGAGGAAAUAAGAGUGUUCCAAGCAGGCAGUUGCCGUGAAUAUGAUAGCAUGGAAUAAUAGUACAGGACUCUUGGUUCAAUGCUGUUGGUUUGUUUGAGCUAGAGUAAUCAAAAUAAAGGAUAGUUGGGGGUAGUUCGUAUUUAACUGUCAGAGGUGAAAUUACUUGGAUUUUUAAAGUACGAACAAAUUGCGAAGGCAUCUACCCAGGAUGUUUUUGUUUGAUCAAGAACGAAAGUUAGGGGAUCGAAGACGAUCAGAUACCAU
This 428-nucleotide ribosomal RNA is filed under the name uncultured eukaryote. Its description in RNAcentral is "SSU rRNA". It matches the Rfam family "Eukaryotic small subunit ribosomal RNA", at positions 592 to 1018 of the family's 1831-position model. The record is from RNAcentral.